AGAUUAAGUUAUUAAGGGCGCACGGUGGAUGCCUUGGCACUAGAAGCCGACGAAGGACGUUACUAACGACGAUAUGCUCUGGGGAGCUGUAAGUAAGCUUUGAUCCAGAGAUCUCCGAAUGGGGAAACCCAGCAUGAGUCAUGUCAUGUUAUCCGUACGUGAAUACAUAGCGUACGAGAAGGCACACCCGGAGAACUGAAACAUCUAAGUACCCGGAGGAAGAGAAAGAAAACUCGAUUCCCUGAGUAGCGGCGAGCGAAACGGGAAGAGCCCAAACCAGGAUGCCUGCAUCCUGGGGUUGUAGGACACUCAGCACGGAGUUACAAAGGAACGAUUUAGACGAAUGGCUUUGGAAAAGCCAACCAGAGAAGGUAAAGGUCCUGUAGUCGAAAAGUCAUUCCCUCCUGAGUGGA
RNAcentral lists this ribosomal RNA (413 nucleotides) under Macrococcus lamae. RNAcentral's name for it is "partial 23S ribosomal RNA". It matches the Rfam family "Bacterial large subunit ribosomal RNA", at positions 1 to 405 of the family's 2925-position model. Lineage: Bacteria; Bacillati; Bacillota; Bacilli; Caryophanales; Staphylococcaceae. The record is from RNAcentral.